RNAcentral lists this long non-coding RNA (463 nucleotides) under Salmo salar (Atlantic salmon). RNAcentral's name for it is "lncRNA (ENSSSAG00000087754.1, ENSSSAG00020056056.1)". The record is from RNAcentral. Lineage: Eukaryota; Metazoa; Chordata; Actinopteri; Salmoniformes; Salmonidae.
CAACCAGGAGUGUGGGGGGGCGGGGCUUGAGCAAGGAGUCACAGAACUGACCGAGGAAGACGAGAUAGACGUGAUGGGAGAGGAAACGGACUGGAACAACACACGUGUAUGCCUCCAAAUCUGAAGGUUAAAUAAGCUGGUGGUCAGGUGUGUUUGUUGGCCGCUGAGAGUGAUAGUUUGGACGGUUCGAUUUUGGAGCGAGCUCAGUCUGGAGCCGGCACAACGCAGACAUGGACCCAGAAAAGCACAGCAACUGGUGGCGGAACUACAAGUGGAAAUGAUGGCUGAUCGGUAAGACUGUACAAUCGGCUGCACGAAACACACGCCCAGGUCCCAGGGUCUGCUGCGGGUGUGGCCAGCCAGGCCAUCUGCGCCGGGAUUGCCCCAUGUCCCCCAGAGCUCAGGGAAACUGCUCAGGGUCCGCAUAGACCGGGGAGUGCGGACCCCUGGCUCUCUUUCCCAA